RNAcentral lists this ribosomal RNA (510 nucleotides) under Triticum aestivum (bread wheat). Its description in RNAcentral is "partial small subunit ribosomal RNA". The record is from RNAcentral. Lineage: Eukaryota; Viridiplantae; Streptophyta; Magnoliopsida; Poales; Poaceae.
AUGAUUUCCUGCAUGAGCAUGAUUAUACCAACUUUUUUCAAUAACCACUCUCUAUGGAGGCCAUGGAAGAAUUGCACUCUCAUUGAGGGGUCCCAGAACUUGCCCAGAAAUAAUACUGCAAAUGAUAAUUGGUUAUGGUCACCUGGUAAAGGUAAUUACUCUGCAAAGAGUUUUUACACAACAAUGCAUGCCCACAUGCCAGUUGAUGAGCCAUGUAAAUGGAUAUGGGAAAGCAGGAGUAUCAUGAAGAUUAAGGUCUUUGCAUGGCUGAUGCUUAAUGACAGAUUAAAUACCAGAGAUAUGCUGGUUAGAAGAGGCAACAGAAUGAUGAGAAUAACUGCCCUUUAUGCCCCACUCAAAACCCUGGAGGACAGAGAUCACCUAUUUUUUAAGUGUACCUUCAGUGCAAGGGUAUGGAAUUAUCUUCAGAUCCAGUGGGUUGCUGGUCUAAACCCAAGAGAGUGUAUCCUUCAUGCCAAAAAGAAGCUUUGGACACCCUGUUUUCCAUGA